CUCAGGAUCUAGUCAACUAUAAAUUCCGUCAAAUCCUAAUACAUAUACUUGGGAUUCGGUCAAUCAUCAAUUCAUUUCAUUCUCUUCAUAAAGGUCUCUUAAUCGAAGGUGCCUCAAUCUUUAGCGGGUAAUUAACAAUAAAUGUUUGUAUUUAUUGAAAGUCAUGAAUCUGCAAUACUUGAUAUUUAUAUACAUAUAAUAUUAGUCUGAUCAUGAAUACUAUUUCACGAAAAAUUAAAUAAAAAAAAAUCGACAAUGCGAGAUGUGUCAUUCGUGAUGGCAGCCACAGAUGUACAU
This 297-nucleotide long non-coding RNA is filed under the name Ananas comosus (pineapple). RNAcentral describes it as "long non-coding RNA (ACOM_LNC014750)". Lineage: Eukaryota; Viridiplantae; Streptophyta; Magnoliopsida; Poales; Bromeliaceae. The record is from RNAcentral.